Molecule: ribosomal RNA, 271 nt
Filed under: uncultured prokaryote
Description: partial 16S ribosomal RNA
Rfam family: Bacterial small subunit ribosomal RNA
Source: RNAcentral
UACGUAGGGUGCGAGCGUUGUUCGGAAUUACUGGGCGUAAAGGGAGCGUAGGCGGGAUUGUAAGUUAGAAGUUUAAUGCAUGGGCUUAACCCAUGGUCGGCUUUUAAUACUGCAGUUCUUGAGUAUGGGAGAGGGUGAUGGAAUUCCAGGUGUAGCGGUGGAAUGCGCAGAGAUCAGGAGGAAUACCGAAGGCGAAGGCAGUCUUCCAAGCCGUUAUUGACGCUCAACUGCGAAGGUGUGGGUAUCAAACAGGAUUAGAUACCCUGGUAGU